GAAUAGGGGAGCCGUAGGGAAACCGAGUCUUAACCGGGCGUUAAGUUGCAGGGUAUAGACCCGAAACCCGGUGAUCUAGCCAUGGGCAGGUUGAAGGUUGGGUAACACUAACUGGAGGACCGAACCGACUAAUGUUGAAAAAUUAGCGGAUGACCUGUGGCUGGGGGUGAAAGGCCAAUCAAACCGGGAGAUAGCUGGUUCUCCCCGAAAGCUAUUUAGGUAGCGCCUCGUGAAUUCAUCUCCGGGGGUAGAGCACUGUUUCGGCUAGGGGGCCAUCCCGGCUUACCAACCCGAUGCAAACUGCGAAUACCGGAGAAUGUUAUCACGGGAGACACACGGCGGGUGCUAACGUCCGUCGUGAAGAGGGAAACAACCCAGACCGCCAGCUAAGGUCCCAAAGUCAUGGUUAAGUGGGAAACGAUGUGGGAAGGCCCAGACAGCCAGGAUGUUGGCUUAGAAGCAGCCAUCAUUUAAAGAAAGCGUAAUAGCUCACUGGUCGAGUCGGCCUGCGCGGAAGAUGUAACGGGGCUAAACCAU
RNAcentral lists this ribosomal RNA (537 nucleotides) under Salmonella enterica. RNAcentral's name for it is "partial 23S ribosomal RNA". It matches the Rfam family "Bacterial large subunit ribosomal RNA", at positions 655 to 1190 of the family's 2925-position model. The record is from RNAcentral. Lineage: Bacteria; Pseudomonadati; Pseudomonadota; Gammaproteobacteria; Enterobacterales; Enterobacteriaceae.